CGGGCAGCAGUUCCAGAGCAGGGUCUGCUGGCAGGUUGUAGUAUCAAAUUAUUUCUUUUCUCACAUCAGACUUAAGGAGCAGUACUCUUCCCCAGCUCUACCUGAGCCAGCAGUCAUAGCAAUCCUUGUCUCUGUUGUGAUCGUGGUGGCUGUUGUAGCUGCCAUCACACAUACCUGUCAGAGGAGGAAAAUGAGAAGUCUUGUGCCAUCGAUGCAGGAGUCCGAGCAUGAACAGGCUUUGAGGUUCAUCGAGGAGAAAGAGGAUCAAACAACUGUUCCUGUGCAAGAAGCUGGUGCUGACCCUGAAGAAACCAAGCCUGAAUCAGAGAGUCUUGUUUGAUCCAUGGCAGAAAAUGGGGAUGGUUAAAAACAACCAAGCACAAAACAUUUUUUCUACAUAUGCAUGAGUGACUGUCAUCUUUCCUUCCCCCAUGGACAGCUGACACUUGGUACACAUUGAUUAUUUCUUUAUUGCUUGUUGUUGGGAAAAAGUGGGGAUUUUUCCAUUUUAAUCAUUCCAUAUAACUCAUACGUAACAGAGUGUACAAAUGUAUUUCGAAAAGAUUUUUCAUUUUAAGGAGUCAAGAAGAUAUUGCUGAGAAAAGCAAUUGUGCACACCAUGGCGCAUAUAUGUUUUAAUAAAGAAAGUUAAUAUCUGAUCUGA
Long non-coding RNA from Neopelma chrysocephalum (saffron-crested tyrant-manakin), 664 nucleotides. RefSeq lists it as uncharacterized. The transcript is spliced from 3 exons. Lineage: Eukaryota; Metazoa; Chordata; Aves; Passeriformes; Pipridae. The record is from RefSeq and is a predicted model, not a curated record.